GAGCCAACGCUAGCCCUAUAUAAUUCCAUUAAACCAUAAAAAUUUAUUAAACUAAAACAUUCACCUUAUAUUUAAAGUAUAGGAGAUAGAAAUUUAUUUCAGGCGCCAUAGAAAAAGUACCGUAAGGGAAAGAUGAAAGAAUUAUUGACAGCAUAAGAAAGCAGAGAUUAACACUCUUACCUUUUGCAUAAUGAGUUAGCCAGAAGAUCUUUAGCAAAAAGAAUUUUAGUUAAAAACCCCGAAACCAGACGAGCUAUCUACGAGCAGUUGCUAGAACGUACCCGUCCAUGUUGCAAAAUGGUGGGAAGACUUAUAGAUAGAGGUGAAAAGCCAAACGAGCCUGGUGAUAGCUGGUUGUCCAGAAAUAGAAUUUUAGUUCAACUUAAAAUCUCUCUCAAAGGACUAAAAUCCCUAAUGAAGAUUUUAAUGUUAGUCUAAAGAGGGACAGCUCUUUAGAGAUAGGAUACAGCCUUUUAUAAUGAGUAAGUUAAUUAACAUCCAUAGUUGGCUUAAAAGCAGCCAUCAAUUAAGAAAGCGUUAAAGCUCAACAAACUUAAAUAACUUAAUUCAAAUAAUUAAUAAACGAACUCUUAUUUCAAUUUAACUGGACUAAUCUAUAAAUUUAUAGAAGAAACAAUGCUAAUAUAAGUAACAAGAAUAUUAUUCUCCUUGCACAAGCAUAUAUCAGACCGGAUGCCCACUGAUAGUUAACAAACAUAAUAAAUAAAACCAUAGAUUUAACUGCUAUUAUCUUUUACUGUUAACCCAACACAGGUGUGCUAAAAGGAAAGAUCAAAAGAAGAAAAAGGAACUCGGCAAACCUUAACCCCGCCUGUUUACCAAAAACAUCACCUCUAGCAUUACUAGUAUUAGAGGCACUGCCUGCCCAGUGACACACGUUCAACGGCCGCGGUAUCCUGACCGUGCAAAGGUAGCAUAAUCACUUGUUCCUUAAUUAGGGACUCGCAUGAAUGGCAACACGAGGGUUUAACUGUCUCUUUCUUCCAAUCAGUGAAAUUGACCUCCCCGUGAAGAGGCGGGGAUGCAACAAUAAGACGAGAAGACCCUAUGGAGCUUCAAUUAUUUAGCCCAAAACUUUCCUAAAAUUCACUCAAUAUGAGCCUAACAAGGAUUCCUCCUGGGCUAAAAAUUUUGGUUGGGGUGACCUCGGAGUACAAAUCAACCUCCGAAUGAUUAUAGCCUAGACCCUACAAGUCAUAGCACUUAAAUCAUAAAUUGACCCAAGAAUAUUUGAUCAACGGAACAAGUUACCCUAGGGAUAACAGCGCAAUCCUAUUAUAGAGUUCCCAUCGACAAUAGGGUUUACGACCUCGAUGUUGGAUCAGGACAUCCUAAUGGUGCAACCGCUAUUGAAGGUUCGUUUGUUCAACGAUUAAAGUCCUACGUGAUCUGAGUUCAGACCGGAGAAAUCCAGGUCGGUUUCUAUCUAUUAAGUAUUUCUCCCAGUACGAAAGGACAAGAGAAAUAAAGCCCACUGUUAAACAGAGCUUUAAGCUUUAAAAGAUGAAAUAAUCUUAAUCUAGUAGACUUACUUAAAUUAUACCCAAGACUAGGGUUU
This 1579-nucleotide ribosomal RNA is filed under the name Nesolagus timminsi (Annamite striped rabbit). Its description in RNAcentral is "16S ribosomal RNA". It matches the Rfam family "Bacterial large subunit ribosomal RNA", at positions 251 to 2853 of the family's 2925-position model. Lineage: Eukaryota; Metazoa; Chordata; Mammalia; Lagomorpha; Leporidae. The record is from RNAcentral.